This 2130-nucleotide unclassified non-coding RNA is filed under the name Hevea brasiliensis (rubber tree). Lineage: Eukaryota; Viridiplantae; Streptophyta; Magnoliopsida; Malpighiales; Euphorbiaceae. The record is from RNAcentral.
AACACAUAUAAACACAUAUCAAUUUAUUUUUAUAUUAAAUUUGAAAUAUUUAAAAAAAAAUUAUUAAAGAGUAGCUAUCUGAUUAUACAACACAAGGGUGAUCAAAGAAUAAUGCUGAAGUUUUUGGUGAUGAUUUCUGAUUACUAUGGCAUCUCUGAAAAUAAAAUAAAAAUUAAGAGGAAAAAAAAUGCUAAAUGAUUCUUUGUUAAAUUUUAAAUAUAUAACUGAAAGCUGCAGAACUCAAACUUUAAAUUCUAUGUUUGGUAGCCCAUUACCACUGGAUGGAGUUGGGGAUUUCACCUUUUCUCAGGAUGGAGAGAGCAUAUUCAGCAGUGUUGAUAAGAUCAUUGAUGUUGUGGAGGGAUCUCUCCUCAGAAGCCAGCAUGAAGAUGGCACGAACUUCAGCCUUCUUAGCCAGUCUAGCAGCUAAAUUAAGAGGCAAAUUUGGAGAGUUGAGGCUGCGCAAUAUUUGGCGAUAAAGAGAAAUAACAUGUCCUCUAUUCCUUGCCAGAUCUUCAGCUGUUGCCCAUAUCAGACCUUUUGCCAUUACUGUUUCAGUUCAAUUGCAGCAGCCACGGCGAUGGCUUCGAGUUGGUGAUCGACCGCGACGGCGAGAGUGGGAGAGAGCAGUAAUGGUGAACGACAAUGGCGGUGGUGGCUUCUAAACCGACGGGCUUGUGGCUUGGAGGAAAAUCGUGAGACAGGUGGGACUAGCAGUUGUAAAUUAUAAAACAAAACGACGUAGUACAAGGCAGCCAAAAGCCAAAACUCUUGAUUUCUAACCCCUCAAACAAACAGGUUUUUGGAGAUGGCAGAGAAAACAUAGCAAAAAUGGAAGAAAAAGAGAAAAAAGCAAAGGAAGCAGUGAGGAAAGAUGGAAAGGAGCCAUAGCCAAUUUGACAGAGAUGGCAUUCAAUUUGGAGUCCCUCCACAAACUACUCCUCAAGAAAGCUGUCUUUGUGGAUGGAGAGACUUUCACUAAAGCUUCACUCAGUUCUGAACAAGCCCGUACCAUCAAGGUUCUUGAACAAAGGGUAGAGACUUUGGAAAGAGAACUUGAUGCUGCCAUUUCUGCUGCUGCCCGUGCUCGUGCAGAAAAGCGACAGGCAGAGGCAGCACAAAAAACUGCUGAAUUACGUGCACAAGAAAUUACAAGAGAACUUGAGAACACCACCAGUAUGUUUGCUAAAUCUUUAUUUUUCAAUUAUACAUCUGUUGAAGAGAAAUAAGAGGCAGAAAAAGAAUUUAGCAAUCGCCCAAAAAGUAUAAAUCUGAGUAUCACUGUUUUCUAAUUACAAUACCUUGAAUAAGUCAAGCACAAUAGGAAUGACAUCUUCUAUCUAAUUGGCUAUAAUUGUGUGACUGACAUAGCACCUUAAAUAUUGAGGAUGAGGCUUUUGUAUUUAUUUUUCCAUAGUUGAAUGUUUUGUGCUAAAAGUAGAAACAACCCUUCAUCAAAAUUCUACACUCUGAAGUGAAGCCCAAAUAGUAUGAUGCUAUGCCUACUAUUAGUUACAUUAUUUUGAUAGCUUUUUUUGACUAUCUGUACUUUGUUCUAUAUUCAGUGAACAAUAUCAUGAAUUUCAGGACAUGGAAAGUGUCUUUUCCUUUGUUUUGUUUUGUUUUAUUUUUAUUAUAUGGUAACUGCUGUUUUAAUUGCAGCCUUGUAGAAAAUUUGAAGACAACUGUUUCCAUUUCACAAUUCAUAUGAAAACUCCCUUUUCAUUUUGAUUAAACCAGGAGGCUGACAGUCAGUUAUAUUGUUAUUCUAAGCUUCAGUUGUUGUAUUGGCACCUAUUUUCACUAACAUCCCGUUUUAAAGAAGUUUUUCUGAAGAUGUGACACAAUAUGUGAUGCAAUAGCUCAAUUACCUUUGGACAUUUUAAUAUCCUUUUGUGCUUUUUUUCCUAGGUUCUGGCAAUUGUUAUAGAUAAGGAAACUUGACCUGAGAAUGAUAGUUUUUGAGGGACAAUACGAUUUAAAUAUGUUAUAUCUUGGCUGCAGAGGUAUUUCAACUGCACAUGGAAGAGCUUCGUGCAAAGCAAGAUGAAAUUUCUAAACGUGAUAAUGAAAUUAAACUUUUGGAAGCUAUAAUUCAAACCCUUGGUGGGAAAGAAUCUCAUUCUACAG